This 1412-nucleotide long non-coding RNA is filed under the name Sorghum bicolor (sorghum). Its description in RNAcentral is "long non-coding RNA (SBIC_LNC008096)". The record is from RNAcentral. Lineage: Eukaryota; Viridiplantae; Streptophyta; Magnoliopsida; Poales; Poaceae.
ACACAUGCUUUUACAUAAAAAUUCUUCCAGAUUAGAGUGAAGUGUUAUGAAGUUUAGUACCUGCACUUAAGUCUUAAGUAAUCGAAAGACAAAAUAAUUAAGUCAAGCACUAUUCCUCCUGUCUAUACUUCACCUUUAUUCUAGAGUUUUUCAUAAGUUUUCAAAAUAAAACUCAGAGUUCCUAGCAAUGAUUCUCUCAAGUCUCUCUAUAUGUGGUAUUUGUGGAUCCUUACCAUGAUAUCACUUACCUAUAGCUAAUGAAAUAUUUAAGUGGAGCUCAUAGGAGUGAAAAACAGCUCAUACAUAUGUUGUCUAAUCGAGCCAUGGAUCCAAAGGAACUCAGCAUAUAAUUAAAUCAAGAUGUGCAUGUGUGAUGGAGUAAAUGAUAGUGAUAGUGAAAAUGCAUAAGUGAUAAUAAAUCUUAGUUCUCAUUGCUCCUCAUAUUGCUAUCUCUCCUCCUCUUUGAUCUUUGCUUUGGGAGAACAUGGGCUAUCUUUUUCUCUUCUCUUUUUUUUUCAGGUGGGUAGUAGAUACCCCUAAUUCUACUGUCGGACACUUGUCCAUUUUUUCCGCUCAAGUGGGCAUCUUUGUACCCCUAAUUCUACUUCGGACACUUGUCCAUUUUUACCUCUCGUCUCACUCUUUUUCUUUCUUUUUCGAGGUUCCCGGGCACUUGCCCCUUUUUAUUUCCUCGCAUAUUUUUGCAUAACCCAUGCCUCUUCUGCAUUGAAUCUUUUUUAGAGAGAGAGAAUAACAAUAUUCGGGACAGUGAGUGAUAAUAUUUUUAGCAAUUUUAAUGAUGAAUGCUGUGGUAGAUGUGUGCAAGUGAAUAUCUUAAUUUAAUCACAUGAAAAGCUCCUAAGGGUCUUCACAGCUCGAUCAAACUCAAUGUGAAUAUAGUAAAAGAUGUUAUAGCAAGUAUGGCUGUGGUAGGUAGUUUGUUAUGCUAGGAACUCAUCAUGUGCUUUGUAAGUUUUCAAAAUAAAUCUCCAGAACUUAGUGUAGUAGGAACAAGAUAAACAGCAGCUCAACUUUAUAUCAUGUCUUUCUCUUACCUAGACUUUAGUUUUAUGCUUCCCAAAGAUAGUAAUUUUAUUUUUAGUAAUUCCUGGAAGAACUCUAAUAUAAAAGCUAGGUGCUUGUAAGUAAGCAAACAGAGCAACUGUUCAUCAUUUCCAUCAUGCAUAUUUUUGGUCUUUUAAUUUUUUUAGAGAUUAAACUUAGCAGGAAAAUAAAGCACACUUAUCUACACACUAUUUUUAUUUUGUUUUCAUGUUUAUAAAGUGCAGUAAAUAAAAGCAAGAAAAUAUUUAUUUGGUUUUCUAAGUUUUUCCUUUUAAGAUAAAUUAAAUACUAAGACAGAAUAGAAUAAAUAAGAAGAGCAAAUAAAAAACUUACUUGAUAAAUUUGGG